This 460-nucleotide ribosomal RNA is filed under the name uncultured bacterium. RNAcentral describes it as "partial 16S ribosomal RNA". It matches the Rfam family "Bacterial small subunit ribosomal RNA", at positions 338 to 795 of the family's 1533-position model. The record is from RNAcentral.
CCUACGGGUGGCAGCAGUGAGGAAUAUUGGUCAAUGGACGAGAGUCUGAACCAGCCAAGUAGCGUGAAGGAUGACUGCCCUAUGGGUUGUAAACUUCUUUUAUAUGGGAAUAAAAUGUUCCACGUGUGGGAUUUUGUAUGUACCAUAUGAAUAAGGAUCGGCUAACUCCGUGCCAGCAGCCGCGGUAAUACGGAGGAUCCGAGCGUUAUCCGGCUUUAUUGGGUUUAAAGGGAGCGUAGGUGGAUUGUUAAGUCAGUUGUGAAAGUUUGCGGCUCAACCGUAAAAUUGCAGUUGAAACUGGCAGUCUUGAGUACAGUAGAGGUGGGCGGAAUUCGUGGUGUAGCGGUGAAAUGCGUAGAUAUCACGAAGAACUCCGAUUGCGAAGGCAGUUCACUGGACUGCAACUGACACUGAGGCUCGAAAGUGUGGGUAUCAAACAGGAUUAGAUACCCGAGUAGUC